AUAUCAAUAAGCGGAGGAAAAGAAACUAACUAGGAUUCCCCUAGUAACGGCGAGUGAACCGGGAUGAGCCCAACUUGAAAAUCUCCAGCCCUCGGCUGGCGAAUUGUAGUCUCUAGAGGCUUCCUCUGCGGCAGGCCAGGCCCAAGUUUCCCUGGAAAGGGGCGUCAAAGAGGGUGAGAACCCCGUAGGCCUGUGCUGCUGUCGCUCCACGAGGUGCCUUCGCAGAGUCGGGUUGCUUGGGAAUGCAGCCCUAAGUAGGUGGUAAAUCCCAUCUAAGGCUGAAUAUGGACGGGAGACCGAUAGCGCACAAGUA
RNAcentral lists this ribosomal RNA (313 nucleotides) under uncultured eukaryote. RNAcentral's name for it is "partial large subunit ribosomal RNA". It matches the Rfam family "Eukaryotic large subunit ribosomal RNA", at positions 40 to 350 of the family's 3401-position model. The record is from RNAcentral.